GAUCAUGGCUCAGGAUGAACGCUAGCGGCAGGCUUAACACAUGCAAGUCGAGGGGCAGCAUAAUGGAUAGCAAUAUCUAUGGUGGCGACCGGCGCACGGGUGCGUAACGCGUAUGCAACCUACCUUUAACAGGGGGAUAACACUGAGAAAUUGGUACUAAUACCCCAUAAUAUCAAGUUUUUUUUUUUAAGGCAUCUUUUAUGGUUGAAAAUUCCGAUGGUUAGAGAUGGGCAUGCGUUGUA
Molecule: ribosomal RNA, 242 nt
Filed under: uncultured bacterium
Lineage: Bacteria
Description: partial 16S ribosomal RNA
Rfam family: Bacterial small subunit ribosomal RNA
Source: RNAcentral